RNAcentral lists this ribosomal RNA (346 nucleotides) under uncultured bacterium. RNAcentral's name for it is "partial 16S ribosomal RNA". It matches the Rfam family "Bacterial small subunit ribosomal RNA", at positions 338 to 682 of the family's 1533-position model. The record is from RNAcentral.
CCUACGGGAGGCAGCAGUGAGGAAUAUUGGUCAAGGGCCGGAAGGCUGAACCAGCCAAGUCGCGUGAGGGACGACUGCCCUAUGGGUUGUAAACCUCUUUUAUAAGGGAAGAAUAAAUGCUACGUGUAGCAUGAUGCCUGUACCUUAUGAAUAAGCAUCGGCUAACUCCGUGCCAGCAGCCGCGGUAAUACGGGGGAUGCGAGCGUUAUCCGGAUUUAUUGGGUUUAAAGGGUGCGUAGGCGGUUUUUUAAGUUAGUGGUUAAAAGUCGGGGCUUCACCUUGAUUUGCCAUUUAUACUGUAAGACUCGAGUUCAGACGAGGUAGGCGGAAUCAGUUCCGUCGCCGU